This 254-nucleotide ribosomal RNA is filed under the name uncultured bacterium. RNAcentral describes it as "partial 16S ribosomal RNA". It matches the Rfam family "Bacterial small subunit ribosomal RNA", at positions 524 to 776 of the family's 1533-position model. The record is from RNAcentral.
UACGGAGGGUGCAAGCAUUAAUCGGAUUUAUUGGGCGUAAAGGGCGCGUAGGCGGCUAUGUAAGUCAGAUGUGAAAUUUCCGAGCUCAACUCGGAACCCGCAUUUGAAACUACAUUAUCUAGAGGGUAGGCGGAGAAAACGGAAUUCCACAAGUAGCGGUGAAAUGCGUAGAUAUGUGGAAGAACACCGGUGGCGAAGGCGGUUUUCUAGCUUAUUCCUGACGCUGAAGCGCGAAAGCAAGGGGAUCAAACAGG